UUCCUACGGGGGGCUGCAGUGGGGAAUUUUGAACAAUGGGCGCAAGCCUGAUCCAGCAAUGCCGCGUGCAGGAAGAAGGCCUUCGGGUUGUAAACUGCUUUUGUACGGAACGAAACGGUCCUGGUUAAUACCUGGGGCUAAUGACGGUACCGUAAGAAUAAGCACCGGCUAACUACGUGCCAGCAGCCGCGGUAAUACGUAGGGUGCAAGCGUUAAUCGGAAUUACUGGGCGUAAAGCGUGCGCAGGCGGUUUUGUAAGACAGGCGUGAAAUCCCCGUGCUCAACCUGGGAAUUGCGCUUGUGACUGCAUCGCUGGAGUGCGGCAGAGGGGGAUGGAAUUCCGCGUGUAGCAGUGAAAUGCGUAGAUAUGCGGAGGAACACCGAUGGCGAAGGCAAUCCCCUGGGCCUGCACUGACGCUCAUGCACGAAAGCGUGGGGAGCAAACAGGAUUAGAUACCCUAGUAGUC
Molecule: ribosomal RNA, 467 nt
Filed under: uncultured Hydrogenophaga sp.
Lineage: Bacteria; Pseudomonadati; Pseudomonadota; Betaproteobacteria; Burkholderiales; Comamonadaceae
Description: bacterial SSU rRNA
Rfam family: Bacterial small subunit ribosomal RNA
Source: RNAcentral